Molecule: long non-coding RNA, 1184 nt
Filed under: Salmo salar (Atlantic salmon)
Lineage: Eukaryota; Metazoa; Chordata; Actinopteri; Salmoniformes; Salmonidae
Description: lncRNA (ENSSSAG00000094533.1, ENSSSAG00000121397.1)
Source: RNAcentral
GAGCUUUUUGGGACACACCCACUGAAUGACAGUCCUCCUCUCACUAUGACUCUGACUAUGAGAGAGAGAGAGAGACCAGUGAGAGAGACCAGAGAGAAAGAGAGCGAGAGACCAGAGAGAAAGAGACCAGAGAGAGAGAGACCAGAGAGAAAGAGAGCGAGAGACCAGAGAGAGAGAGAGAGAGAGACCAGAGAGAAAGAGAGACCAGAGAGAGAGAGAGAGAGACCAGAGAGAAAGAGAGAGAGAGAGAGACCAGAGAGAGAGAGACCAGAGAGAAAGAGAGCGAGAGACCAGAGAGAGAGAGACCAGAGAGCGAGAGACCAGUAGUGCACUAUGCACUAUGCACUAGCGAGAGACCAGAGAGAAAGAGAGAGAGAGAGACCAGAGAGUGAGAGACCAGAGAAGAGAAAGAGAGCGAGAGACCAGAGAGAGAGAGACCAGAGAGCGAGAGACCAGAGAGAGAGAGAGCAAGAGACCAGAGAGAAAGAGAGCGAGAGACCAGAGAGAAAGAGAGCGAGAGACCAGAGAGAAAGAGAGAGAGAGACCAGAGAGAAAGAGAGCGAGAGACCAGAGAGAAAGAGACCAGAGAGCGAGAGACCAGAGAGCGAGAGACCAGAGAGCGAGAGACCAGAGAGCGAGAGACCAGAGAGAAAGAGAGCGAGAGACCAGAGAGAAAGAGAGAGAGAGAGAGAGACCAGAGAGCGAGAGACCAGAGAAAGAGAGCGAGAGACCAGAGAGAAAGAGAGCGAGAGACCAGAGAGAAAGAGAGCGAGAGACCAGAGAGAAAGAGACCAGAGCGAGAGACCAGAGAGAAAGAGAGCGAGAGACCAGAGAGAAAGAGAGCGAGAGACCUGAGAGAGAGAGACCAGAGAGAGAGAGACCAGAGAGCGAGAGACCAGAGAGCGAGAGACCAGAGAGAGAGAGAGAGCAAGAGACCAGAGAGAAAGAGAGCGAGAGACCAGAGAGAAAGAGAGCGAAAGAGAGAGAGACCAGAGAGCGAGAGACCAGAGAGAAAGAGAGCGAGGGACCAGAGAGAAAGAGAGCGAGAGACCAGAGAGAAAGAGAGCGAGAGACCAGAGAGAAAGAGAGGGAGAGACCAGAGAGAAAGAGACCAGAGAGAGCGAGAGACCUGAGAGAGAGAGACCAGAGUGCGAGAGACCAGAGAGUGAGAGACCAGAGAGCGA